Molecule: ribosomal RNA, 755 nt
Filed under: uncultured Cryobacterium sp.
Lineage: Bacteria; Bacillati; Actinomycetota; Actinomycetes; Micrococcales; Microbacteriaceae
Description: bacterial SSU rRNA
Rfam family: Bacterial small subunit ribosomal RNA
Source: RNAcentral
CCUACGGGAGGCAGCAGUGGGGAAUAUUGCACAAUGGGCGCAAGCCUGAUGCAGCAACGCCGCGUGAGGGACGAAGGCCUUCGGGUUGUAAACCUCUUUUAGUAGGGAAGAAGCGACUGGGUUUUCCUGGGAGUGACGGUACCUGCAGAAAAAUCACCGGCUAACUACGUGCCAGCAGCCGCGGUAAUACGUAGGGUGCAAGCGUUGUCCGGAAUUAUUGGGCGUAAAGAGCUCGUAGGCGGUUUGUCGCGUCUGCUGUGAAAACCCGAGGCUCAACCUCGGGCCUGCAGUGGGUACGGGCAGACUAGAGUGCGGUAGGGGAGAUUGGAAUUCCUGGUGUAGCGGUGGAAUGCGCAGAUAUCAGGAGGAACACCAAUGGCGAAGGCAGAUCUCUGGGCCGUAACUGACGCUGAGGAGCGAAAGCAUGGGGAGCGAACAGGAUUAGAUACCCUGGUAGUCCAUGCCGUAAACGUUGGGAACUAGAUGUGGGGACCAUUCCACGGUCUCCGUGUCGCAGCUAACGCAUUAAGUUCCCCGCCUGGGGAGUACGGCCGCAAGGCUAAAACUCAAAGGAAUUGACGGGGGCCCGCACAAGCGGCGGAGCAUGCGGAUUAAUUCGAUGCAACGCGAAGAACCUUACCAAGGCUUGACAUAUACCGGAAACGGCUGGAAACAGUCGCCCCGCAAGGUCGGUUUACAGGUGGUGCAUGGUUGUCGUCAGCUCGUGUCGUGAGAUGUUGGGUUAAGUCCCGCAA